CAACUUUCAACAACGGAUCUCUUGGUUCUGGCAUCGAUGAAGAACGCAGCGAAAUGCGAUAAGUAGUGUGAAUUGCAGAAUUCAGUGAAUCAUCGAAUCUUUGAACGCACAUUGCGCCCUUUGGCAUUCCAAAGGGCAUGCCUGUUCGAGCGUCAU
Molecule: ribosomal RNA, 156 nt
Filed under: Alternaria celosiicola
Lineage: Eukaryota; Fungi; Ascomycota; Dothideomycetes; Pleosporales; Pleosporaceae
Also listed under: 2 other names
Description: 5.8S ribosomal RNA
Rfam family: 5.8S ribosomal RNA
About the family: 5.8S ribosomal RNA (5.8S rRNA) is a component of the large subunit of the eukaryotic ribosome. It is transcribed by RNA polymerase I as part of the 45S precursor that also contains 18S and 28S rRNA.
Source: RNAcentral